GAAUGAAGAACGUAGCGAAAUGCGAUAAGUAAUGUGAAUUGCAGAAUUCAGUGAAUCAUCGAAUCUUUGAACGCACAUUGCGCCCGCUGGUAUUCCGGCGGGCAUGCCUGUUCGAGCGUCAUUUCAACCCUCAAGCUCUCCGGAGUUUGGUGUUGGGGCGCCUGGGGCUUUUCGACCUCAGGGCCCUCAAGUCCAUCGGCGGGACCGCCAGGACACUGAGCGCAGUAGUAUUAUUUCGCUCGGUAGGAUCUUCCACGGCGGGUCGAUCUGGCCGCUAAACCCCCCAAUUCUCACCAAAGGUUGACCUCGGAUCAGGUAGGAAUACCCGCUGAACUUAAGCAUAUCAAUAAGCGGAGGA
RNAcentral lists this unclassified non-coding RNA (358 nucleotides) under soil metagenome. Its description in RNAcentral is "partial contains 5.8S ribosomal RNA, internal transcribed spacer 2, and large subunit ribosomal RNA". The stretch from base 3 to 121 matches the Rfam family "5.8S ribosomal RNA", at positions 36 to 154 of the family's 154-position model. The record is from RNAcentral.